Molecule: ribosomal RNA, 445 nt
Filed under: uncultured bacterium
Lineage: Bacteria
Description: partial 16S ribosomal RNA
Rfam family: Bacterial small subunit ribosomal RNA
Source: RNAcentral
GUGAGGAAUAUUGCGCAAUGGAGGCAACUCUGACGCAGCCAUGCCGCGUGCAGGAAGAAGGCGCUACGCGUUGUAAACUGCUUUUAACCGGGAAGAAACCCCAGGACGUGUCCUGGGUUGACGGUACCGGAGGAAUAAGCACCGGCUAACUUCGUGCCAGCAGCCGCGGUAAUACGAAGGGUGCAAGCGUUAUCAGGAUUCAUUGGGUUUAAAGGGUGCGUAGGCGGAGCGUUAAGUCAGUGGUGAAAUCCUGCAGCUUAACUGUAGACUUGCCAUUGAUACUGGCGCACUUGUGUGCGCUUGAAGUGGGCGGAAUGUGCCGUGUAGCGGUGAAAUGCUUAGAUAUGGCACAGAACACCAAUUGCGAAGGCAGCUCACUAAGGCGAUACUGACGCUGAGGCACGAAAGCGUGGGGAUCGAACAGGAUUAGAUACCCCUGUAGUCC